GACGAACGCUGGCGGCGUGCUUAACACAUGCAAGUCGAACGGUGAAGCGCCUUCCUUUUUGGUGGGUGUGGAUGAGUGGCGAACGGGUGAGUAACACGUGAGUAACCUGCCCCCUUCUUCUGGAUAACCGCAUGAAAGUGUGGCUAAUACGGGAUAUUCUGGGUCUGUCGCAUGAUGGGUCUGGGAAAGAUAUUGUUUCGGUGGGGGAUGGGCUCGCGGCCUAUCAGCUUGUUGGUGAGGUGAUGGCCUACCAAGGCGGUGACGGGUAGCCGGCCUGAGAGGGUGGACGGUCACACUGGGACUGAGACACGGCCCAGACUCCUACGGGAGGCAGCAGUGGGGAAUAUUGCACAAUGGGCGCAAGCCUGAUGCAGCGACGCCGCGUGAGGGAUGGAGGCCUUCGGGUUGUGAACCUCUUUCGCCAGUGAAGCAGGCCUGCCUCGUUUGUGGGUGGGUUGACGGUAGCUGGAUAAGAAGCGCCGGCUAACUACGUG
RNAcentral lists this ribosomal RNA (494 nucleotides) under uncultured bacterium. RNAcentral describes it as "partial 16S ribosomal RNA". It matches the Rfam family "Bacterial small subunit ribosomal RNA", at positions 28 to 507 of the family's 1533-position model. The record is from RNAcentral.